UGGCUCAGUGGUAGAACACCUGCAUAACAAGCAUGAGGCCCUGAGUUCAAAUCUCAG
This 57-nucleotide transfer RNA is filed under the name Dipodomys ordii (Ord's kangaroo rat). It matches the Rfam family "tRNA", at positions 8 to 63 of the family's 71-position model. Rfam says of the family: Transfer RNA (tRNA) molecules are approximately 80 nucleotides in length. The record is from Rfam by way of RNAcentral. Lineage: Eukaryota; Metazoa; Chordata; Mammalia; Rodentia; Heteromyidae.